RNAcentral lists this ribosomal RNA (253 nucleotides) under uncultured bacterium. RNAcentral's name for it is "partial 16S ribosomal RNA". It matches the Rfam family "Bacterial small subunit ribosomal RNA", at positions 524 to 776 of the family's 1533-position model. The record is from RNAcentral.
UACGUAGGGUGCAAGCGUUAUCCGGAAUUAUUGGGCGUAAAGAGCUCGUAGGCGGUUUGUCACGUCUGCUGUGAAAACUGGAGGCUCAACCUCCAGCCUGCAGUGGGUACGGGCAGACUAGAGUGCGGUAGGGGAGAUUGGAAUUCCUGGUGUAGCGGUGGAAUGCGUAGAGAUCGGGAGGAACACCAGCGGCGAAGGCGGCGACCUGGACAGGUACUGACACUCAACUACGAAAGCGGGGGGAGCAAACAGG